RNAcentral lists this long non-coding RNA (1915 nucleotides) under Nicotiana benthamiana. RNAcentral describes it as "long non-coding RNA (NBEN_LNC016858)". Lineage: Eukaryota; Viridiplantae; Streptophyta; Magnoliopsida; Solanales; Solanaceae. The record is from RNAcentral.
ACCAAACGACACCCCUCUCUUACACGCCUCUGCCAUCGCCUCACGACCGAACUCGCCGGAAAUUCGCUUUUUUGGCACGCGCUUUCACUGGCCCCCCUCUUCUACCUUAUCUUUCAUCUAACACGUUUUCACUGGUCCCCCUCUUCUACAUUAUCUUUCAUCUACGUGGUCUGACAUGUAACAAACCCCCACUUACUCGAAUAUUCCUUCGAUUUUUUUUCUUUAACAAAUUCGAAUUAUUCUCAGACGGUUUUGGAAAAUUGGAGGUCAUAGGAUUAAAGUGUUUUGAUCCUAGGUUUGCACUUGUCUAAAAUCCGUCGUUUAAAAAAAAAGAAUUUUCGAAUUUAAUAAAAGUUUGGAUUUUUAAGAGUUUUGGGGAAUAUUUUCGGAUGUUUGAGAUCCCCACACGAUUUCUUGCUGAAGAAGGAUAGAAGUUUCGAAAGUGAGCUAUAUAUUUGGGAUUGGACAAAAGGAUGAGGGAACAAUCUUUAGGGGUCGAAAUAAAAUCCUAGGGUUUUGAAGAGUUUUAUUUGGUGUGUUAAGUUUUCUUUGCUAGAAUUUCUGCUUGGAGAUUCCAGAAAAAUACUAUAAAAAAUGAGUUUCUUCGUUUCUUUUGGACUCUUAUUUAGAUUUUUGAGUCGAUUUAAGUUUUUCUUUAAAAAGGGUAUACAAAAAUACAUUCGACAUCCCAAGUAAAGAUGGAUUCCGUCUGAGCCGAGGUUGAGUCGAGUUCGCAUUUGAGAUUUCGUCCGAGUUGGUUUUUGGUUGGAGCGUUUGGUUCAUGUCAGCUAGUACAAUUUAUCGAUUCCAUUUAUUUCCCUUUUACAUAUUAUUUCUUGGUGUUGAUUACGAGUAUGAUAAGAGCUUCGAUUUAAAAUGAGUUUAAGGGUCUAAAACGACAAAAUAAGAGGGAUGAACGUUCAUAGGAGUGUAUUCUCGUUGGUUCUAAAAUAAGAACUGAUUUGAGUAUACUUUCUUUUGGACAUACUUGUUCCUGUUCGGUUAAUUUAAUUUCAUUAAAUUGAUUUGAGUUUUAUAUGCCAUUUGAAGAAUCUUGUAUUAGUUUCGAAAUGACAAACUAAAAAGUGGAGAUUGAUUUUUUUUUUUAAUCUAAUGGCUUGUUUGGCAUUUCCUUUACUAGUUUUCUCCUGAUUUUAGCAUGAUUCUCAAUAGAUUUAAGGACUCAAUUUAACAGUGUCAAUUUCAUGUUUGUUUGCCUAUGUCAUGAAUUGAAACCCAUGGCUCAUGCUUUCUAAUCAGCCUCAAGUGCUUAUUACUAGAAACUCUUCAUAAUGCAUAUUUAUUUGUUUGACAUUCCAGGUGCUUAAGUGAUAAGAAAAGUGAAUCUUUGUGAAGCUAAUCUUGAAGUUUGGAUAAUUAUUAGUUCUAUUCUAGCGUAUUCUUCGUUUAGGUUAUUUUGGAGCAUUCUAAUUAUUUAAGUUCAUUCUAAUUAUGUUGAAAACAUUUAGGAUUGGAUCUUGGUUGAAUUAGAAGGUUAAUCCAUUUAUGAAAAUUGCAUCUUAGUGGCAUCGACAGUUAGAGUGAUAGGUUUUUUUCAUGAAACAUAUCUAUAUCUUAGUCAUAGUGUGAUUAACAUGAGUUGUUAAGAAUUGUACUUAUUUUGUUCUCCUAUGAAUUGUAGCAAUGUCUGUAGUUUUGUGUAGUUUUGUCUUUGUUUGAGGUGUAAGAGUUAGGAGGCAAGGUUGGUGAGCUAACAUGGUACAAUGGGGUUUUAACAUAGCUCUUGUCAUACUUGCAAUCUUCCUUUAAUCAUUCAGCGUUGUUUUGUUAUUUUUAUAUUUCUUUUAUUUUGUUUGGCUUGCUAUUUUUAAGCCCAUUAGUGAUUAAUUUGUUUAGGGAUUUUUACAUAUACAUCCCAUAUAACAAACCUUAUAACCACUCAUGUUUAAGGUUA